RNAcentral lists this ribosomal RNA (426 nucleotides) under uncultured bacterium. RNAcentral's name for it is "bacterial SSU rRNA". It matches the Rfam family "Bacterial small subunit ribosomal RNA", at positions 28 to 412 of the family's 1533-position model. The record is from RNAcentral.
GAUGAACGCUGGCGGCGUGCCUAAUACAUGCAAGUCGAACGCAUUGUGGUUGAAAUGAUAUGAAGAACUUGUUCAGAUUUGAUUUUCAACAUUGCAAUGAGUGGCGAACGGGUGAGUAACACGUGGGAAACCUACCUCUUAGCAGGGGAUAACAUUUGGAAACAAAUGCUAAUACCGUAUAAUAAUUAAAACCGCAUGGUUUUAGUUUAAAAAGAUGGUCUUGCUAUCACUAAGAGAUGGUCCCGCGGUGUAUUAGUUAGUUGGUGAGGUAAUGGCUCACCAAGACAAUGAUACAUAGCCGAGUUGAGAGACUGACCGGCCACAAUGGGACUGAGACACGGCCCAUACUCCUACGGGAGGCAGCAGUAGGGAAUCUUCCACAAUGGACGAAAAGUCUGAUGGAGCAAACGCCGCGUGUGUGAUGAA